UAGUUUUGGAAACCAUGAGCAGGGAGU
Molecule: non-coding RNA, 27 nt
Filed under: Mus musculus (house mouse)
Lineage: Eukaryota; Metazoa; Chordata; Mammalia; Rodentia; Muridae
Source: RNAcentral